UCCCCCUCUAACCACAAGACUACCUGCCUCCCCCCUCUAACCACUAGGCUACCUGCCUCCCCCCUCUAACCACUAGGCUACCUGCCUCCCCCUCUAACCACUAGGCUACCUGCCUCCCCCCUCUAACCACUAGGCUACCUCCUCCCCCCUCCUCCCCCUCUAACCACUAGGCUACCUGCCUCCCCCUCUAACCACUAGACUACCUGCCUCCCCCCUCUAACCACUAGGCUACCUGCCUCCCCCCUCUAACCACUAGGCUACCACUAGGCUACCUACAACUGCUCCAGCAUGGAGGACAGGCAGACAGGCAGACAGACAGGCAGACAGACAGACAGACAGGCAGACAGACAGGCAGACAGGCAGACAGACAGACAGACAGGCAGACAGGCACUUCUGUCAUUCCCCAAAAAGACAGACAUUUCCAUGCUCAGAGUCUCAGCCACUUUAGAUUUGAGUGUUGUCUCUGUGUUUUAUCCCACACCAGUGUUUUUCUCUAGCUGUAUAUCAACAAGGUGUAUACUGUAUAUACUGACAGUCUUUAAUGACAGUGUGAGCCGCUGUCUACGUCGGAAUGGCGCCACUCCUACGCGACUCCCGUCCCUGCAGGCAGAAUCGACACGCUAUCUGACCUAAGACAAUGGCGUUACUGUAAAUCAACAAGACAUUGGGGCCAGAGCAAGUUCAUCUCACAUUGAACAGGUUGACUCCCAAAUGGAAACCUAUCCCAUAUAUAUAUAGUGCACUAUUUCUGUCCAGAUCCCUAAGGGGUUGGUAGGUUGGGU
This 782-nucleotide long non-coding RNA is filed under the name Salmo salar (Atlantic salmon). Its description in RNAcentral is "lncRNA (ENSSSAG00000108533.1)". The record is from RNAcentral. Lineage: Eukaryota; Metazoa; Chordata; Actinopteri; Salmoniformes; Salmonidae.